RNAcentral lists this small RNA (819 nucleotides) under Oryza sativa Japonica Group (Japanese rice). RNAcentral's name for it is "sRNA Os07g0521950". The record is from RNAcentral. Lineage: Eukaryota; Viridiplantae; Streptophyta; Magnoliopsida; Poales; Poaceae.
GAGCCGAAGGGAUUGGGCUGGUUGGGCCAGUCGAGGCGGCCAGGCCCGCGCAUGUAGCUAGCAGGCGGUAAGGCUGUGCUAGCUUGGUACGACAGUGGUAGUCAGCCGAUCGCGGAGGAGGCCAGUGGCGAGGACGCGGACGCGGCGAAGGACAUCGCGAUAAGAUGACUGCGGCGGAGGCCCUGCGGCGACAUCGUCACCACGGCAACGGUGAGGACCUCCCCGUCUCGGCGUCCCACCUGACGUCUGCCUCAGCGUCGGCUUCCCAGUGCUAGUGCAAAGCUAGUUCGAGGAUAUUCAGGGGCUGUUUGGAUCGGAUUUUUAGUCAUGUCACGUCGGAUGUUUGACACUAAUUAGAGUGUUAAACAUAGACUAUUAACAAAAACUCAUUCCAUAACCCUGGACUAAUUCACGAGACAAAUCUAUUGAGAUUAAUUAAUCCAUAAUUAGCAUAUGUAAUACUACAGUAAAUAUGUGCUAAUUAUAGAUUAAUUAGGCUUAAAAAAUUUAUCACACGAAUUAGCUCUCAUUUAUGUAAUUAGUUUUGUAAGUAAUCUAUGUUUAAUACUCCAAAUUAAUGUCUAAAUAUUCAAUGUGAUAGAGACUAAAGUUUAGUCUAUGUAUCCAAACACCACCUCAGUCGUUUGUGGUCUAGAUUAUUAUCAGUUACUUUUCUUUAGAUAAUGUAUUAUCAGUUAAUAGCAGUUUAGUACCUGCAAUCAGUUAGUACUUUGUUUGUAGUCUAUGUUAUUGUGCAAGUUCAAUGGUAUGAUUUGUAAGCGAGAUGCUUGUUCAACCUCAAUUUUCAUGUUUCAGCUU